AUGAGGCACUAUUUUAUGGAUAAUCCCGUGUACCGCGAGUCGAACUUCUGGCACCGGUUUAGGAUGAGCACCGAGUUGUUCAGGAGAAUUGCAGAGAAACUGGCGAGCCAUGAUCGAUUUUUUCAACAAAGGAGAAAAGACGCCGGAGAACUCGGGCAUAGCACCUUUCAAAAGGUGACAGCCGCUUUGCGUAUGUUGGCAUACGAUAUUCCUGAAGGAAAUAUGCCCUAG
This 231-nucleotide ribosomal RNA is filed under the name Triticum aestivum (bread wheat). RNAcentral describes it as "partial small subunit ribosomal RNA". Lineage: Eukaryota; Viridiplantae; Streptophyta; Magnoliopsida; Poales; Poaceae. The record is from RNAcentral.